This 1396-nucleotide ribosomal RNA is filed under the name uncultured bacterium. Its description in RNAcentral is "16S ribosomal RNA". It matches the Rfam family "Bacterial small subunit ribosomal RNA". The record is from RNAcentral.
UUAGAGUUUGAUCCUGGCUCAAGACGAACGCUGGCGGCGUGCCUAAUACAUGCAAGUAGAACGCUGAAGAGAGGAGCUUGCUCUUCUUGGAUGAGUUGCGAACGGGUGAGUAACGCGUAGGUAACCUGCCUUGUAGCGGGGGAUAACUAUUGGAAACGAUAGCUAAUACCGCAUAACAAUGGAUGACACAUGUCAUUUAUUUGAGAGGGGCAAUUGCUCCACUACAAGAUGGACCUGCGUUGUAUUAGCUAGUAGGUGAGGUAACGGCUCACCUAGGCGACGAUACAUAGCCGACCUGAGAGGGUGAUCGGCCACACUGGGACUGAGACACGGCCCAGACUCCUACGGGAGGCAGCAGUAGGGAAUCUUCGGCAAUGGGGGCAACCCUGACCGAGCAACGCCGCGUGAGUGAAGAAGGUUUUCGGAUCGUAAAGCUCUGUUGUAAGUCAAGAACGAGUGUGAGAGUGGAAAGUUCACACUGUGACGGUAGCUUACCAGAAAGGGACGGCUAACUACGUGCCAGCAGCCGCGGUAAUACGUAGGUCCCGAGCGUUGUCCGGAUUUAUUGGGCGUAAAGCGAGCGCAGGCGGUUUGAUAAGUCUGAAGUUAAAGGCUGUGGCUCAACCAUAGUUCGCUUUGGAAACUGUCAAACUUGAGUGCAGAAGGGGAGAGUGGAAUUCCAUGUGUAGCGGUGAAAUGCGUAGAUAUAUGGAGGAACACCGGUGGCGAAAGCGGCUCUCUGGUCUGUAACUGACGCUGAGGCUCGAAAGCGUGGGGAGCGAACAGAAUUAGAUACCCUGGUAGUCCACGCCGUAAACGAUCCCUAAAAGGUGUGGGAUCCUUUCCGGGAUUCAGUGCGCCAGCUAACGCAUUAAGCACUCCGCCUGGGGAGUACGACCGCAAGGUGGAAACUCAGAGGAAUUGACGGGGGCCCGCACAAGCGGUGGAGCAUGUGGUUUAAUUCGAAGCAACGCGAAGAACCUUACCAGGUCUUGACAUCCCGAUGCUAUUUCUAGAGAUAGAAAGUUACUUCGGUACAUCGGUGACAGGUGGUGCAUGGUUGUCGUCAGCUCGUGUCGUGAGAUGUUGGGUUAAGUCCCGCAACGAGCGCAACCCCUAUUGUUAGUUGCCAUCAUUCAGUUGGGCACUCUAGCGAGACUGCCGGUAAUAAACCGGAGGAAGGUGGGGAUGACGUCAAAUCAUCAUGCCCCUUAUGACCUGGGCUACACACGUGCUACAAUGGUUGGUACAACGAGUUGCGAGUCGGUGACGGCAAGCUAAUCUCUUAAAGCCAAUCUCAGUUCGGAUUGUAGGCUGCAACUCGCCUACAUGAAGUCGGAAUCGCUAGUAAUCGCGGAUCAGCACGCCGCGGUGAAUACGUUCCCGGGCCUUGUAC